AGGAGGAACAACCACAGUGGCGGUGGCCAGCCCUGGAGUCUUGGAGUCAGCUCCCACAGUAACUACAGAGCUCUCUGUCUGCAGGGGCAUGGAUGCACCAGGGGCGG
This 107-nucleotide microRNA precursor is filed under the name Canis lupus familiaris (dog). RNAcentral's name for it is "mir-8834 microRNA precursor family". It matches the Rfam family "mir-8834 microRNA precursor family". Lineage: Eukaryota; Metazoa; Chordata; Mammalia; Carnivora; Canidae. The record is from Rfam by way of RNAcentral.